RNAcentral lists this ribosomal RNA (301 nucleotides) under uncultured bacterium. RNAcentral's name for it is "partial 16S ribosomal RNA". It matches the Rfam family "Bacterial small subunit ribosomal RNA", at positions 509 to 807 of the family's 1533-position model. The record is from RNAcentral.
CAGUCGCCGCGGGAAUACGUAGGUGGCAAGCGUUGUCCGGAAUUAUUGGGCGUAAAGGGCUCGCAGGCGGUUUCUUAAGUCUGAUGUGAAAGCCCCCGGCUCAACCGGGGAGGGUCAUUGGAAACUGGGAAACUUGAGUGCAGAAGAGGAGAGUGGAAUUCCACGUGUAGCGGUGAAAUGUGUAGAGAUGUGGAGGAACACCAGUGGCGAAGGCGACUCUCUGGUCUGUAACUGACGCUGAGGGGCGAAAGCGUGGGGAGCGAACAGGAUUAGAUACCCCGGUAGUCCCUGUCUCUUAUAC